GACGAACGCUGGCGGCGUGCUUAACACAUGCAAGUCGUACGGUAAGGCCCUUUCGGGGGUACACGAGUGGCGAACGGGUGAGUAACACGUGAGUAACCUGCCCACAACUUUGGGAUAACGCUAGGAAACUGGUGCUAAUACUGGAUAUGUGCUCCUGCUGCAUGGUGGGGGUUGGAAAGCUCCGGCGGUUGUGGAUGGACUCGCGGCCUAUCAGCUUGUUGGUGGGGUAGUGGCCUACCAAGGCGGCGACGGGUAGCCGGCCUGAGAGGGUGACCGGCCACAGUGGGACUGAGAUACGGCCCAGACUCCUACGGGAGGCAGCAGUGGGGAAUAUUGCACAAUGGGCGCAAGCCUGAUGCAGCAACGCCGCGUGCGGGAUGACGGCCUUCGGGUUGUAAACCGCUUUCAGCAGGGACGAAGCUUUUAGUGACGGUACCUGCAGAAGAAGCACCGGCUAACUACGUG
This 465-nucleotide ribosomal RNA is filed under the name uncultured bacterium. RNAcentral's name for it is "partial 16S ribosomal RNA". It matches the Rfam family "Bacterial small subunit ribosomal RNA", at positions 28 to 507 of the family's 1533-position model. The record is from RNAcentral.